ACUUAAAUAGCUUAUACAAGAGCAUAGUAUUGAAGAUACUAAGGAAACUUAGAUUUUUAGGUA
Molecule: transfer RNA, 63 nt
Filed under: Cryptocephalus quadripunctatus
Lineage: Eukaryota; Metazoa; Arthropoda; Insecta; Coleoptera; Chrysomelidae
Description: tRNA-Phe
Source: RNAcentral